GGAGAUGUUUGUUUCACCAUGAAAACGUCCUUGAAAUGGAUGUAAUCUGGACAUCCUAUUCCAAGAACCCCAUUUCAAUUUUAACUUUGAGAUAAUUAAAUAUAAUUCAAAUAUUCAAUGGUAAAAGUAGAAAUUAUACUACAAAAUUAGAACCCAUUUCCACCUAACUUCAAUUAAACAUAAAAAUCUCAUAAAUAAUUAAGAUUCCUUUUAUACCAAAUAAGAAAAUGCCAUCCCACUACAGUAAUUGCAUUUCUU
This 258-nucleotide unclassified non-coding RNA is filed under the name Hevea brasiliensis (rubber tree). Lineage: Eukaryota; Viridiplantae; Streptophyta; Magnoliopsida; Malpighiales; Euphorbiaceae. The record is from RNAcentral.